ACCAUCAGUUAUUACGGAACCGACUGCUGCUGGCUACAGAUUCCUGGUUGGUUCAAUGACCAGAAGAUGGGAAUACAAGUCAGUGUAAAUGAAGGUUCUCUUUUGCGGUCCCGAAACGUUUGAUAACUGUGAAGUGUCAAGACUCAAGAGCACCAUGAAAUAAAGAUUGGGAAACCCCCAUUUGCAGCAGACAAGGAGCAGAGCACCGGCAAGAACUUGCUGAAAAAUGGAGCACAGAGGCCUGCUGCCAUUCUGCAGAACACAGCGUGUAAAGAGAAAAAGAAUGCAGAAGUGGAUACAACUGUGGCCACUAUAUAUAGAGUAACGUGAAACACUCAGCUCUACCUGAUCAUCUUCUUCAUUCAUGUACUGCUGAGGAAGAGCCUUCCGGUGAUCCAACUCUUUCUGAAG
Xenopus laevis (African clawed frog) is the source of this 411-nucleotide long non-coding RNA. RefSeq lists it as uncharacterized. NCBI's taxonomy places the organism in Eukaryota, Metazoa, Chordata, Amphibia, Anura, Pipidae. The transcript is spliced from 3 exons. The record is from RefSeq and is a predicted model, not a curated record.